This 254-nucleotide ribosomal RNA is filed under the name uncultured bacterium. RNAcentral describes it as "partial 16S ribosomal RNA". It matches the Rfam family "Bacterial small subunit ribosomal RNA", at positions 524 to 776 of the family's 1533-position model. The record is from RNAcentral.
UACGGGGGGGGGCAAGCGUUGUUCGGAAUUACUGGGCGUAAAGGGCUCGUAGGCGGCCAACUAAGUCAGACGUGAAAUCCCUCGGCUUAACCGGGGAACUGCAUCUGAUACUGGAUGGCUUGAGAUUGGGAGAGGGAUGCGGAAUUCCAGGUGUAGCGGUGAAAUGCGUAGAUAUCUGGAGGAAUACCGGUGGCGAAGGCGGCAUCCUGGACCGGCAUUGACGCUGAGGAGCGAAAGCCAGGGGAGCAAACGGG